RNAcentral lists this ribosomal RNA (468 nucleotides) under uncultured bacterium. RNAcentral's name for it is "partial 16S ribosomal RNA". It matches the Rfam family "Bacterial small subunit ribosomal RNA", at positions 28 to 507 of the family's 1533-position model. The record is from RNAcentral.
GACGAACGCUGGCGGCGUGCUUAACACAUGCAAGUCGAACGGAAAGGCCCUGCUUUUGUGGAGUGCUCGAGUGGCGAACGGGUGAGUAACACGUGAGUAACCUGCCCUUGACUUUGGGAUAACUUCAGGAAACUGGGGCUAAUACCGGAUAGGAGCUCCUGCUGCAUGGUGGGGGUUGGAAAGUUUCGGCGGUUGGGGAUGGGCUCGCGGCUUAUCAGCUUGUUGGUGGGGUAGUGGCUUACCAAGGCUUUGACGGGUAGCCGGCCUGAGAGGGUGACCGGCCACAUUGGGACUGAGAUACGGCCCAGACUCCUACGGGAGGCAGCAGUGGGGAAUAUUGCACAAUGGGCGGAAGCCUGAUGCAGCAACGCCGCGUGCGGGAUGACGGCCUUCGGGUUGUAAACCGCUUUCGCCUGUGACGAAGCGUGAGUGACGGUAAUGGGUAAAGAAGCACCGGCUAACUACGUG